This 487-nucleotide ribosomal RNA is filed under the name uncultured bacterium. RNAcentral's name for it is "bacterial SSU rRNA". It matches the Rfam family "Bacterial small subunit ribosomal RNA", at positions 30 to 507 of the family's 1533-position model. The record is from RNAcentral.
AUUGAACGCUGGCGGCAGGCUUAACACAUGCAAGUCGAGCGGAGAUGAGGUGCUUGCACCUUAUCUUAGCGGCGGACGGGUGAGUAAUGCUUAGGAAUCUGCCUAUUAGUGGGGGACAACAUUCCGAAAGGGAUGCUAAUACCGCAUACGUCCUACGGGAGAAAGCAGGGGGAUCUUCGGACCUUGCGCUAAUAGAUGAGCCUAAGUCGGAUUAGCUAGUUGGUGGGGUAAAGGCCUACCAAGGCGACGAUCUGUAGCGGGGUCUGAGAGGAUGAUCCGCCACACUGGGACUGAGACACGGCCCAGACUCCUACGGGAGGCAGCAGUGGGGAAUAUUGGACAAUGGGGGGAACCCUGAUCCAGCCAUGCCGCGUGUGUGAAGAAGGCCUUAUGGUUGUAAAGUACUUUAAGCGAGGAGGAGGCUACUGAGACUAAUACUCUUGGAUAGUGGACGUUACUCGCAGAAUAAGCACCGGCUAACUCUGUG